UACGUAUGGUGCAAGCGUUAUCCGGAUUUACUGGGUGUAAAGGGAGCGCAGGCGGCACGGCAAGCCUGAUGUGAAAGCCCGCGGCCCAACCGCGGGACUGCAUUGGGAACUACCGGGCUGGAGUGCCGGAGAGGUAGGCGGAAUUCCUAGUGUAGCGGUGAAAUGCGUAGAUAUUAGGAGGAACACCAGUGGCGAAGGCGGAUUGCUGGACAGUAACUGACGCUGAGGCGCGAAAGCGUGGGGAGCAAACAGG
Molecule: ribosomal RNA, 253 nt
Filed under: uncultured bacterium
Lineage: Bacteria
Description: partial 16S ribosomal RNA
Rfam family: Bacterial small subunit ribosomal RNA
Source: RNAcentral